This 740-nucleotide long non-coding RNA is filed under the name Lathyrus oleraceus (garden pea). RNAcentral's name for it is "Pisum sativum (pea) long non-coding RNA (PSAT_LNC027959)". The record is from RNAcentral. Lineage: Eukaryota; Viridiplantae; Streptophyta; Magnoliopsida; Fabales; Fabaceae.
CAAUUUUCUUUCAUACCUUAUACAUAACAUUUGAGUAUGCAUCAAAGGAUUUAUUAUAAUAUCUUCUUUAUGUAUGUCUCAUUUAUCAAAUAGCCUCUUACAUUUUCUCUAUAAUACAAGCAGUAAAAAAUUAUAUUAAACCUAAAACAACCUUAACAUCUAACCAAGAUAAACAAAAGUGUAUCCAAUUUAUAAAAUUCUAUGGUAGAUUGAAAUAAGUAACAAACUAUAAAUUUUUAGAUAAAUGCAUUUGAAUAUGGUAAUACAAUCUCUUCUUAAAAUAUACCUAGAGACAAUAAUGGUUCUUUUCCUAGAAUAUACCCAAGAACCACCCAGAGUUAUUAAUAGAGAACCCUAUCACCGCAAUCUCGGAUUUUCGGCCGGAGUGGCCAUCCUGUGCGACAUAUCCAAUGUGAGGAUCCCAAUUUACGAUCAUUGACGAAAAAGACGUUGUAUCUUGGAGCGGGUCGUGGGUCACUACCAGCGUGGAGCGGUUUGGUUUUUUUUUUUUAACUUUUUCAUCAGAUGUCAAAGAACUUAUAAAUCAAAGAAGAAUAGAAGAAGAUAAAGUUGUGUUGGAUUUGACGAAGCAAGAAAAUCAAAGAAGAUGAAGUUGUGGAGGCAGAGAGAAAGAUUUUUAAUUAAUCAACUAAAUGAGAGAAUAUAUGGUUGAAAAGUCUAAAGGGUGAUAAAGUGGAUUGAAAAGGGCAAUUUACAGGUUAAUGUUCCCCAUAUACUUC